CUAGCUGCGCUCCUCAGUACAGCAUCCACGAGAAUCCUAGUCAAUGGCGAGCUCUCCGACAGGAUUGACCUUAUGAAGGGCCUCAGGCAGGGCGAUCCUCUUUCCCCACUGUUGUUUGUUUUGGUGAUGGACUGCCUAGCAAAACUAAUUGACAAGGCAGCGAACCUGGGAAUUCUG
Molecule: ribosomal RNA, 177 nt
Filed under: Triticum aestivum (bread wheat)
Lineage: Eukaryota; Viridiplantae; Streptophyta; Magnoliopsida; Poales; Poaceae
Description: partial small subunit ribosomal RNA
Source: RNAcentral